RNAcentral lists this unclassified non-coding RNA (380 nucleotides) under uncultured Rickettsiales bacterium. RNAcentral describes it as "contains 16S-23S intergenic spacer region". Lineage: Bacteria; Pseudomonadati; Pseudomonadota; Alphaproteobacteria; Rickettsiales. The record is from RNAcentral.
UCCCGCUUAUCACGGGCAGUUUCCUUAGAGUGCCCACCAUAACGUGCUGGUAACUAAGGACGAGGGUUGCGCUCGUUGCGGGACUUAACCCAACAUCUCACGACACGAGCUGACGACAGCCAUGCAACACCUGUCUCCUCCCCAGCCGAACUGAAGGAUAUCUAUUACAAUAUCCGGUAGGAGGGAUGUCAAAAGGUGGUAAGGUUUUUCGCGUAGCAUCGAAUUAAACCACAUGCUCCACCACUUGUGCGGGUCCCCGUCAAUUCCUUUGAGUUUUAAUCUUGCGACCGUACUCCCCAGGCGGGGUGCUUAACGCGUUAGCUACGACACUGAAACUUAAGCUCCAAUAUCUAGCACCCAUAGUUUACAGCGUGGACUAC